RNAcentral lists this small RNA (28 nucleotides) under Bombyx mori (domestic silkworm). Its description in RNAcentral is "ovarian small RNA-29503". Lineage: Eukaryota; Metazoa; Arthropoda; Insecta; Lepidoptera; Bombycidae. The record is from RNAcentral.
UCUAGUUGCUUCGUCUGCUGGGUUUUGC